UAAUACGGUUUUACAUAUUGCUAUUAAGCAUAGUGAAGUUGGAAUAAUACAAUUACUAUGUGAUUAUGGUUGUUUAAAACUUAUUUAUUAUUCUUCUAUAGAAAACAAAAAAACAAAUGUUUUACAAUUAUGUAUACAACAAAGACAUUUUCUAGCUUAUAUUUUAAUAAAGCAAUGGAUACUUCAAAGUAAAUUUUCAAAAAAAUUAAAAACUACAAAAUCUGUAUAUACUUUUUAUAUUUGGUUUGUUGCAUAUUUAAAUUUACUUAUUUAUUUUAAUAUUACCAAAUCGUUUACUAUAAUAAAUAAAUACAAAACCGAAGCUAUUAUAUGGAUAACACUAUGGUUAUUGUACUUAGUUUUGUGGUGUUCUUUAUAUUUUAAAGAUCCUGGGUCUUAUAAUAAUAAAAAAAGACUUUCACUACAUGUAAAUGUACAUGCUGAUUCUUUUGGUUGUACUAAUUCUGAGCCCUAUGAUGAUAGAAGUAUUACAGCAGGAACUAUGACGUAUUAUAAUUCAUUUGGUGACGAUAAUAACACUCACUGUAGUACUAAAGCGCAUACUGUAGUUAAUAUGUAUAAUGACACAUAUAAUAACAAAUAUAAUAUGACUCAACAUAAUAUGUACAAUCAAACCGAUAAAAAUGCACAUAAUAAUACAUACAAUAACAUAAAUAAAUACAAUAACAUAAAUAAAUACAAUAACACAAAUAAAUAUAAUAACACAAAUAAAUACAAUAACACAAAUAAUAGUACAUAUGCAAACUGUAUUCAUAAUAAUUUUAUAAACAAACAAGCAGAAGCUGAAUUAAAUCGUAUAGAGAAAGAAAUCUUUCAAAUAAAUAAAAAAAUAUUUUCUUUUAACAAUUUACCUAGUAAUAAUUUUAAUAGAAAUAUGGAAAACGAAAGUAUGAUUGAAGAGUAUGAUAACAUUUUAAUAAAUUUAGAAAAGUAAUGUAUGUACUACUUGUAAUAUCAUCAAACCGUUGAGGGUCCACCAUUGUGCUGAAUGUCACCAUUGUGUUGUGUAAAAAAAAAAAAAAAAAAAAAA
RNAcentral lists this long non-coding RNA (1051 nucleotides) under Piliocolobus tephrosceles (Ugandan red Colobus). RNAcentral describes it as "lncRNA (ENSPTEG00000023724.1)". The record is from RNAcentral. Lineage: Eukaryota; Metazoa; Chordata; Mammalia; Primates; Cercopithecidae.